GUAUGGUGCAAGCGUUAUCCGGAUUUACUGGGUGUAAAGGGAGCGCAGGCGGUACGGCAAGUCUGAUGUGAAAGCCCGGGGCUCAACCCCGGUACUGCAUUGGAAACUACCGGACUGGAGUGUCGGAGGGGUAAGUGGAAUUCCUAGUGUAGCGGUGAAAUGCGUAGAUAUUAGGAGGAACACCAGUGGCGAAGGCGGCUUACUGGACGAUCACUGACGCUGAGGCUCGAAAGCGUGGGGAGCAAAC
Molecule: ribosomal RNA, 247 nt
Filed under: uncultured bacterium
Lineage: Bacteria
Description: partial 16S ribosomal RNA
Rfam family: Bacterial small subunit ribosomal RNA
Source: RNAcentral